CAGUCGCCGCGGGAAUACGAAGGGUGCAAGCGUUAAUCGGAAUUACUGGGCGUAAAGCGUGCGUAGGUGGUGGUUUAAGUCCGUUGUGAAAGCCCUGGGCUCAACCUGGGAAUUGCAGUGGAUACUGGGUCACUAGAGUGUGGUAGAGGAUAGUGGAACUUCCGGUGUAGCAGUGAAAUGCGUAGAGAUCGGAAGGAACAUCUGUGGCGAAGGCGACUAUCUGGGCCAACACUGACACUGAGGCACGAAAGCGUGGGGAGCAAACAGGAUUAGAUACCCCUGUAGUCCCUGUCUCUUAUAC
RNAcentral lists this ribosomal RNA (301 nucleotides) under uncultured bacterium. RNAcentral describes it as "partial 16S ribosomal RNA". It matches the Rfam family "Bacterial small subunit ribosomal RNA", at positions 509 to 807 of the family's 1533-position model. The record is from RNAcentral.